UGAUAAAAAUAGUUUAAAGGUUAGUCUUGUUAGAGGUAUAAAAAUAAUUAGUAGUGUUAACGAAAAUUUCUUUUUACUAUAGAAAAUUAGUACUGUGAAGGAAAUAUUGAAAUAUUUGAAAAUUUUUCAUAAUAAAAGUACUUAUAAAUUGAGGUACCUUUUGUAUUAGUGGUUAUUAAAAUAAAACUAAAGAGUUUUUUCUCGAAAAUAAAAGAUCUAGGUAAGUUUGAAAGUUUUUGUGUCAAAAAAAUUUUUUAAGUCUGCUUAGGGGUGAAAUUCUAAUCGCUUUUAUUAAUAUCUAGUAACUUCAGAAAUAAAUUCAGUUUAGAACGUAUAGGGAGAUUUUAAUUUAAAAAUUGUUCUUAAAACGUUUUUAGAUUUUAGGGGAUGAGCUCUAAAGUCAUUUUAAAAGAUUCGAUUAUAUUGUUUUUUUCAUAGGCUUAGAAUUAGCUAUAAGAAAGUGUUAUAAAAUAUAAGACUAGGUUUAAGAUUUAUUGUUCUUUUUUGUUUAUGAAGUUAUUUUAAAAAUUUUUUAAAGAAAGAAAAUAUGAUAACAUUAGUAGAUAAUAGGAUAAAGAAUAUCAUUUUAAAUUAUUCUCAGGAGUUUAAAUAAAAUAAAUUUUACAGAAGAACUCGGCAAAUGAAAUUUCCGAAUGUUUAACAAAAACAUUUCCUCUUAGUAAAGGAGGUAAGGCCUGCUCACUGAAUUUUAAAGAGCCGCAGUAUCCUAACUGUGCUAAGGUAGCAUAAUCAUUAGUCUUUUAAUUGGAGACUGGUAUGAAUGGCUAAACGAGAGAUUGACUUUUUUUGUAAUAAAAAUUGAAUUUAAUUUUUUAGUGAAAAAGCUAAAAUUUUUCAGAAAGACGAGAAGACCCUAUAGAGUUUCAUACCUCAAAAUAUUUUUUUUAAGUGGAUGUUUCAAACAAAGUGUUGUUGGGUAUUUUGUUGGGGCGACAUUAAGAUAAAUAAAACUCUUUUUUUUAAAAAUUUUUAUAGAAAUAUAUUUAUGAUCCUUUAAAAAAGAUCAAAAGAAAAAAUUACCUUAGGGAUAACAGCGUAAUCUUUUUUGAGAGUUCUAAUCGACAAAAAGGUUUGCGACCUCGAUGUUGGACUAAAAUUUAGGCAAGGUGCAGCAGUUUUGCUUUAAGGUCUGUUCGACCUAUAAUAUUUUACACGAUCUGAGUUCAGACCGGCGUGAGCCAGGUUGGUUUCUAUCUUCUGAUUUCAUUUAUUUCAAUUUAGUACGAAAGGAUUGGUUGAUUGUAAUUUUUACAAGUAGGAGAGGAUUAUUAAAUAUCAUUAU
This 1303-nucleotide ribosomal RNA is filed under the name Megabalanus ajax. RNAcentral describes it as "16S ribosomal RNA". The stretch from base 857 to 1221 matches the Rfam family "Bacterial large subunit ribosomal RNA", at positions 2073 to 2647 of the family's 2925-position model. The record is from RNAcentral. Lineage: Eukaryota; Metazoa; Arthropoda; Thecostraca; Balanomorpha; Balanidae.